CUUGCAACAAGUAGGGCGGGACACGAGAAAUCCUGUUUGAAGAUGGGGGGACCAUCCUCCAAGGCUAAAUACUCCUGAUUGACCGAUAGUGAACCAGUACUGUGAAGGAAAGGCGAAAAGAACCCCAGUGAGGGGAGUGAAAUAGAACCUGAAACCGUGUACGUACAAGCAGUGGGAGCCCUUUUGGGUGACUGCGUACCUUUUGUAUAAUGGGUCAGCGACUUAUAUUUUGUAGCGAGGUUAACUGAAUAAGGGAGCCGAAGGGAAACCGAGUCUUAACUGGGCGGUGAGUUGCAAGGUAUAGACCCGAAACCCGGUGAUCUAGCCAUGGGCAGGUUGAAGGUUGGGUAACACUAACUGGAGGACCGAACCGACUAAUGUUGAAAAAUUAGCGGAUGACUUGUGGCUGGGGGUGAAAGGCCAAUCAAACCGGGAGAUAGCUGGUUCUCCCCGAAAUCUAUUUAGGUAGAGCCUUAUGUGAAUACCUUCGGGGGUAGAGCACUGUUUCGGCUAGGGGUCCAUCCCGGAUUACCAACCCGAUGCAAACUGCGAAUACCGAAGAGUAAUGCAUAGGAGACACACGGUGGGUGCUAACGUCCAUCGUGGAGAGGGAAACAACCCAGACCGCCAGCUAAGGUCCCAAAGUCUAUAUUAAGUGGGAAACGAAGUGGGAAGGCUUAGACAGCUAGGAUGUUGGCUUAGAAGCAGCCACCAUUUAAAGAAAGCGUAAUAGCUCACUAGUCGAGUCGGCCUGCGCGGAAGAUGUAACGGGGCUAAAAUAUAGCACCGAAGCUGCGGCAUCAGGCGUAUCACAAAUACGCCUUACGAUUAACAACAUCGAAUGAAGUGAAACAGAAUAAGAUGUUGGUCAAGCACCCAACACGUUGAGUUGGCAUAAAGUGCGGAUAGAAAUCAGAGGAAUAUUUGUGAUACGCCUGUUGGGUAGGGGAGCGUUGUGUAAGCGGAUGAAGGUGAAUCGAGAGGUUUGCUGGACGUAUCACAAGUGCGAAUGCUGACAUAAGUAACGAUAAAACGAGUGAAAAACUCGUUCGCCGGAAGACCAAGGGUUCCUGUCCAACGUUAAUCGGGGCAGGGUGAGUCGGCCCCUAAGGCGAGGCUGAAAAGCGUAGUCGAUGGGAAACGGGUUAAUAUUCCCGUACUUGGUAAAGCUGCGAUGUGGGGACGGAGAAGGUUAGGUUAGCAGACUGUUGGAUGUCUGUUUAAGUUGGUAGGUGGGAAGUUUAGGCAAAUCCGGACUUCCAUAACACUGAGAGAUGAUGACGAGUUUCUACGGAAAUGAAGUAACUGAUACCACGCUUCCAGGAAAAGCCACUAAGCGAAAGGCUUUACUAAACCGUACUGAAAACCGACACAGGUGGUCAGGUAGAGAAUACUCAGGCGCUUGAGAGAACUCGGGUGAAGGAACUAGGCAAAAUAGCACCGUAACUUCGGGAGAAGGUGCGCUGGCGUAGGUUGUAAGAGUAUACCUCCGAAGGCUGAACCAGUCGAAGAUACCAGCUGGCUGCAACUGUUUAUUAAAAACACAGCACUCUGCAAACACGAAAGUGGACGUAUAGGGUGUGAUGCCUGCCCGGUGCUGGAAGGUUAAUUGAUGGUGUUAUCGAAAGAGAAGCUCCUGAUCGAAGCCCCAGUAAACGGCGGCCGUAACUAUAACGGUCCUAAGGUAGCGAAAUUCCUUGUCGGGUAAGUUCCGACCUGCACGAAUGGCAUAAUGAUGGCCAGGCUGUCUCCACCCGAGACUCAGUGAAAUUGAAAUCGCCGUGAAGAUGCGGUGUACCCGCGGCUAGACGGAAAGACCCCGUGAACCUUUACUAUAGCUUGACACUGAACAUUGAAUUUUGAUGUGUAGGAUAGGUGGGAGACUAAGAAGCAGGCACGCCAGUGCUUGUGGAGUCGUCCUUGAAAUACCACCCUUUAACGUUUGAUGUUCUAACGAAGAUUACGAAACGUGGUCUCGGACAGUGUCUGGUGGGUAGUUUGACUGGGGCGGUCUCCUCCCAAAGCGUAACGGAGGAGCACGAAGGUUUGCUAAUCACGGUCGGACAUCGUGAGGUUAGUGCAAUGGUAUAAGCAAGCUUAACUGCGAGACAGACAAGUCGAGCAGGUGCGAAAGCAGGUCAUAGUGAUCCGGUGGUUCUGAAUGGAAGGGCCAUCGCUCAACGGAUAAAAGGUACUCCGGGGAUAACAGGCUGAUACCGCCCAAGAGUUCAUAUCGACGGCGGUGUUUGGCACCUCGAUGUCGGCUCAUCACAUCCUGGGGCUGAAGUAGGUCCCAAGGGUAUGGCUGUUCGCCAUUUAAAGUGGUACGCGAGCUGGGUUUAGAACGUCGUGAGACAGUUCGGUCCCUAUCUGCCGUGGGCGUUGGAGAAUUGAGAGGGGCUGCUCCUAGUACGAGAGGACCGGAGUGGACGCAUCACUGGUGUACCAGUUGUCUCGCCAGAGGCAUUGCUGGGUAGCUAAAUGCGGAAGAGAUAAGUGCUGAAAGCAUCUAAGCACGAAACUCGCCUUAAGAUGAGUUCUCCCUAGCUAUAAGCUAGUAAGGGUUGUUGAAGACUACGACGUAGAUAGGUCUGGUGUGUAAGCGGUGUGAGCCGUUGAGCUAACAGAUACUAAUUGCCCGAGAGGCUUAACUAU
Molecule: ribosomal RNA, 2655 nt
Filed under: Glaesserella parasuis
Lineage: Bacteria; Pseudomonadati; Pseudomonadota; Gammaproteobacteria; Pasteurellales; Pasteurellaceae
Description: partial 23S ribosomal RNA
Rfam family: Bacterial large subunit ribosomal RNA
Source: RNAcentral